ACUCCUACGGGAGGCAGCAGUGGGGAAUAUUGCACAAUGGGCGCAAGCCUGAUGCAGCCAUGCCGCGUGUGUGAAGAAGGCCUUCGGGUUGUAAAGCACUUUCAGUCGUGAGGAAGGUGGUAGUGUUAAUAGCACUAUCAUUUGACGUUAGCGACAGAAGAAGCACCGGCUAACUCCGUGCCAGCAGCCGCGGUAAUACGGAGGGUGCGAGCGUUAAUCGGAAUUACUGGGCGUAAAGCGCAUGCAGGUGGUUGUUAAGUCAGAUGUGAAAGCCCGGGGCUCAACCUCGGAAUAGCAUUUGAAACUGGCAGACUAGAGUACUGUAGAGGGGGUUAGAAUUUCUAGGUGUAGCGGUGAAAUGCGUAGAGAUCUGAAGGAAUACCGGUGGCGAAGGCGGCCCCUGGACAGAUACUGACACUCAGAUGCGAAAGCGUGGGAGCAAACAGGAUUAGAUACCCCGUGUAGACUGUCA
Molecule: ribosomal RNA, 472 nt
Filed under: uncultured bacterium
Lineage: Bacteria
Description: bacterial SSU rRNA
Rfam family: Bacterial small subunit ribosomal RNA
Source: RNAcentral